RNAcentral lists this ribosomal RNA (76 nucleotides) under Bacillota bacterium. Its description in RNAcentral is "Firmicutes bacterium (anaerobic digester metagenome) partial 23S ribosomal RNA". The record is from RNAcentral. Lineage: Bacteria; Bacillati; Bacillota.
GAGGUAGAUAGGCCAGAGGUGUAAGGGCAGUGAUGCCUUGAGCUGUCUGGUACUAAUGGUUCGAGGGCUUGACCUU